AUCUACGGCCAUGCUACCCUGAACAAGCCUGAUCCCGUCUGAUCUCGGAAGCUAAGCAGGGUCGGGCCUGGUUAAUACUUGGAUGGGAGACUACCUAGGAAGACCAGGUGCUGUAGGCG
RNAcentral lists this ribosomal RNA (119 nucleotides) under Pteropus alecto (black flying fox). The record is from RNAcentral. Lineage: Eukaryota; Metazoa; Chordata; Mammalia; Chiroptera; Pteropodidae.